This 1848-nucleotide ribosomal RNA is filed under the name Triticum aestivum (bread wheat). RNAcentral describes it as "partial small subunit ribosomal RNA". The record is from RNAcentral. Lineage: Eukaryota; Viridiplantae; Streptophyta; Magnoliopsida; Poales; Poaceae.
AUGACCACCUUCGAGGAGGGCGAGCGCGAGAGCGAGUACGGCUACGUCCGCAAGGUCUCUGGGCCCGUGGUCGUGGCUGAUGGCAUGGGCGGUGCCGCCAUGUACGAGCUCGUCCGUGUCGGCCACGACAGCCUCAUCGGCGAAAUCAUCCGUCUCGAGGGCGAUUCAGCUACAAUUCAAGUUUACGAGGAAACAGCUGGGCUAACUGUCAACGAUCCCGUGUUGAGAACGAAAAAGCCUCUUUCAUGUGAGUUGGGACCUGGUAUUCUUGGAAACAUCUUUGAUGGAAUCCAGCGCCCUCUGAAAACUAUUGCUAUUAAGUCUGGAGAUGUCUACAUUCCACGUGGUGUUUCAGUCCCUGCUCUUGAUAAAGAUCAGCAGUGGGAGUUCCAGCCAAAUAAGCUAGGUGUUGGAGAUAAUAUCACAAAUGGAGAUCUAUACGCUACCGUAUUUGAGAACACAUUGAUGAAGCACCAUAUCGCGCUCCCUCCUGGUGCUAUGGGAAAGAUAAGUUACAUUGCCCCUGCGGGUCAGUACAGUCUGCAGGACACAGUGCUGGAAUUGGAGUUUCAGGGCAUCAAAAAGGAGUUCACUAUGCUCCACACAUGGCCUGUGCGGACACCACGGCCUGUUGCGUCAAAACUUGCUGCUGACACGCCUCUUCUAACAGGACAGCGUGUACUUGACGCACUGUUUCCCUCGGUGCUUGGAGGAACAUGUGCUAUUCCUGGAGCUUUCGGUUGUGGAAAAACUGUCAUUAGUCAGGCGCUCUCAAAGUAUUCCAAUUCCGACACUGUGGUUUAUGUGGGCUGUGGAGAAAGAGGAAAUGAGAUGGCUGAGGUCCUUAUGGACUUCCCGCAAUUGACAAUGACGUUGCCUGAUGGACGUGAAGAGUCAGUCAUGAAAAGAACAACGCUUGUGGCUAACACCUCCAACAUGCCUGUCGCCGCUCGUGAAGCCUCCAUUUAUACAGGAAUUACUAUUGCUGAAUACUUCCGUGACAUGGGCUACAAUGUUAGUAUGAUGGCUGAUUCCACGUCCAGGUGGGCCGAAGCAUUGCGUGAAAUUUCAGGACGUUUGGCUGAAAUGCCUGCGGAUAGUGGUUACCCCGCAUAUUUGGCUUCACGGUUGGCAUCCUUCUAUGAACGUGCUGGGAAGGUGCAAUGUCUUGGCAGUCCAGACCGGACAGGCAGUGUCACAAUUGUUGGCGCCGUCUCUCCUCCUGGAGGAGAUUUUUCAGAUCCUGUUACCUCUGCUACCCUCAGUAUUGUGCAGGUCUUCUGGGGACUGGAUAAGAAGCUGGCUCAAAGAAAGCAUUUCCCAUCUGUUAAUUGGCUCAUUUCUUACUCAAAAUACUCCACGGCUUUGGAAGGAUACUAUGAAAAGUUUGAUCCUGGCUUUAUUGACAUGAGAACAAAAGCUCGUGAAGUGUUGCAGAGAGAGGAUGACCUAAACGAAAUUGUCCAGCUUGUUGGUAAAGAUGCACUGGGAGAAUCUGACAAGAUUACUUUGGAGACAGCCAAGCUUCUGAGGGAAGAUUAUUUGGCACAGAAUGCUUUUACCCCAUAUGACAAGUAUUGUCCAUUCUACAAAUCUGUCUGGAUGAUGCGCAACAUUAUUCAUUUCAAUACAUUAGCGAAUCAGGCCGUGGAGCGAGCAGCCAAUGCUGAUGGACACAAGAUAACCUACGCCGUCGUAAAGAGUCGCAUGGGCGAUCUAUUUUACCGCCUUGUAUCCCAAAAGUUCGAAGACCCCGCAGAAGGCGAAGACGUCCUAAUCGCAAAAUUCCAGAAGUUGUACGACGACCUCACCACCGGGUUCCGCAACCUAGAAGACGAGGCUAGGUAA